RNAcentral lists this ribosomal RNA (292 nucleotides) under uncultured eukaryote. RNAcentral describes it as "partial 18S ribosomal RNA". It matches the Rfam family "Bacterial small subunit ribosomal RNA", at positions 902 to 1194 of the family's 1533-position model. The record is from RNAcentral.
CAAAUGAAUUGACGGGGGCCCGCACAAGCGGAGGAACAUGUGGUUUAAUUCGAUGAUACGCGAGGAACCUUACCCGGGCUUGAAAUGCAGAUGAUCGAAGUGGAGACACUUUUUCCAGCGAUGGCGUCUGUGUAGGUGCUGCAUGGUUGUCGUCAGCUCGUGCCGUGAGGUGUCGGCUUAAGUGCCAUAACGAGCGCAACCCUCAUUACUAGUUACCAUCAGGUCUAGCUGGGGACUCUAGUGAGACUGCCGGCGUAAGCUGUGAGGAAGGUGGGGAUGACGUCAAAUCAGC